UACAGAGGGUGCGAGCGUUGUUCGGAAUUAUUGGGCGUAAAGGGCGCGUAGGCGGUGCGGUAAGUCACCUGUGAAAUCUCCUGGCUCAACUGGGAGCUUGCAGGCGAAACUGCCGUGCUGGAGUGUGGGAGAGGUGCGUGGAAUUGCAGGUGUAGCGGUGAAAUGCGUAGAUAUCUGCAGGAACACCCGUGGCGAAAGCGGCGCGCUGGACCACUACUGACGCUGAGGAACGAAAGCUAGGGGAGCAAACAGG
RNAcentral lists this ribosomal RNA (253 nucleotides) under uncultured bacterium. Its description in RNAcentral is "partial 16S ribosomal RNA". It matches the Rfam family "Bacterial small subunit ribosomal RNA", at positions 524 to 776 of the family's 1533-position model. The record is from RNAcentral.